RNAcentral lists this ribosomal RNA (182 nucleotides) under uncultured bacterium. Its description in RNAcentral is "partial 16S ribosomal RNA". It matches the Rfam family "Bacterial small subunit ribosomal RNA", at positions 1319 to 1500 of the family's 1533-position model. The record is from RNAcentral.
CAUGAAGUCGGAAUUGCUAGUAAUCGCGGAUCAGCAUGCCGCGGUGAAUACGUUCCCGGGCCUUGUACACACCGCCCGUCACACCAUGGGAGCCGGUAAUACCCGAAGUCAGUAGUCUAACCGCAAGGAGGACGCUGCCGAAGGUAGGAUUGGCGACUGGGGUGAAGUCGUAACAAGGUAAC